AGUCUGGUGCCAGCAGCCGCGGUAAGUCCAGCUCUAGUAGUGUAUACUAAAUUUGCUGCGUUUGAAACGCUCGUAGUUGGAAUUCGGAGUGGCGAUGAUUGAAUGAGUUCUCUUCGGAGGAUUUGUUUAGUUUUCAGAAAAGAUGUUAUCUUUUUUGGACCACUCAAUUAAUUCUGAAGACCUGGUUCUGGUCUUAACUGAUUGGAAUCAUUCAGGGAUUCAGAUCGUUUACUGUGAAAAAAUUAGAGUGUUCAAAGCAGGCGUUUACAGCCUUGAAUACAUUAGCAUGGAAUAAUAGAAAAGGACUUUUGUCCAUACUUGUUGGUUGUUUCGGGACGAAAGGAAUGAUUAAUAGGGACAGACGGGGGCAUCAGUACUUCAUAGCUAGAGGUGAAAUUCUCAGAUUUAUGAAAGACUAACUACUGCGAAAGCAUUUGCCUAGCAUGUUUUCAUUGAUCAAGAACGAAAGUCGGGGGAUCGAAGACGAUCAGAUACCGUCGUAGUCUCGACUAUAAACGAUGCUGACUUGGGAUUGGUCGAUGCUCUUUUUAGGACUCGAUCAGCACCAUGCGAGAAAUCAAAGUGUUGGAGUUACGGGGGGAGUAUGGCCGCAAGACUGAAACUUAAAGGAAUUGGCGGGAAGGCACACAAGGCGUGGAGCCUGCGGCUCAAUUUGACCCAACACGGGGAAACUUACCAGGGCCAGAUGUUGGAAGGAUUGACAGAUUGAGAGCUCUUUCUUGAUUCAACAAGUGGUGGUGCAUGGCCGUUCUUAGUUGGUGGAGUGAUUUGUCGGCUUAAUUGCGAUAACGAACGAGACCUCAGCCUGCUAACUAGAUGGGGGAAUUCGUUAGAAUUCUUUGAUGUUCGCAAGAACAUGCCAUUCUUCUUAGAGGGACAAUUCGUGUAAGCGAAUGGAAGUUGAGGCAAUAACAGGUCUGUGAUGCCCUUCGAUACCCUGGGCCGCACGCGCGCUACACUGAUAGAUUCAACGAGUUGUAUCCUUGGUUGAGAAACCUGGGAAAUCGUGAAAUCUCUAUCGUGAUGGGGAUUGAGUGCUGGAACUGCACUCAUGAACGAGGAAUGCCUAGUAAGCGUGAGUCAUCAGCUCGCGUUGAUUACGUCCCUGCCCUUUGCACACACCGCCCGUCGCUUCUACCGAUUGAAUGGUCCGGUGAAGACUUCAGACUGUUCUAGAUCCUCGCAAGAGAGUCUGGAAUGGAAAGUUGUCUAAAUCGUAGCAUUUAGAGGAAGAAGAAGUCGU
Molecule: ribosomal RNA, 1264 nt
Filed under: metagenome
Description: SSU rRNA
Rfam family: Eukaryotic small subunit ribosomal RNA
Source: RNAcentral